Molecule: non-coding RNA, 455 nt
Organism: Ciona intestinalis (vase tunicate)
Lineage: Eukaryota; Metazoa; Chordata; Ascidiacea; Phlebobranchia; Cionidae
Source: RefSeq, a predicted model, not a curated record
CUUUGGCUGGAGUCUAGACUGAAAACGAUUGCGAUAAGAAAACUGAGAAAACGUGAUGGAAAAAUCGAUAGACAUAUUCUAAGCGGAUUGUUCGGAAAUUAUAAAACGUUUAACAUACGCGCACUUAGACCAAGUUGGUUCAUUGUACAGAAAGCAACGAUAUGAAUAAGUCAGCGCUUCUCCUCUUGCUUGUCAUCGGACUCCUCGUCCUCACCGAAAUCGAAGCCACCACCGACCCGCGGUGGGCACCACAUCAUUCCCGCCGUCGAGCACCCACGGUGAAUAACCGCCGUAGAUGGAAUUGGAAUCAAGCACCGAAAGCCGAUGAAUUGGCAGACAUGCAGGAAGCAGUCGAUCGCUUUCUUGAAUAAAGUGGUGGACAGUUGGUGUAAUUACUAGUUCACCCGACGUGUAAAACGUAAUCUGCUUGCUUCAAUAAACCAACACAAGUUAAA